This 452-nucleotide long non-coding RNA is filed under the name Phasianus colchicus (ring-necked pheasant). RNAcentral describes it as "lncRNA (ENSPCLG00000003503.1)". Lineage: Eukaryota; Metazoa; Chordata; Aves; Galliformes; Phasianidae. The record is from RNAcentral.
GAGCAAAACUGAAAGGAAGCCAACCGUCUCUGGGCCAGAGAGGACUGACGUGCCUGGCACAGCCCAGCCUCGAGAGAGAGAUCUGUCUGCUCUAAGGGCUUUGCAGAGGACAACCCCAAGCAAGGUGGUCCCAAGGGAACACGCAGAGAGAUCCAAAUACUGAUCAAGGACAGCUCAGUCUGAGGAGGGCUGAGGUCCUGGGAGCUGUGCUUGUUCACAUGAGCCGAAGAUGUGACUGCUUGUUUCCCAGAUACUCCUUCUGUAUCUGAAACUGAAAGGAAGAAAAUCUCAACUUCACGAUUGCAUGGAGUUAGUUAUGUCACUGCAGAACCCUUGACAUGUGGAGAUGAAAUAGUGGGCACAGAAACCUCACUGCAAAAUCCCAUGGUAGAGCUCCUAAGAGUGGCAAGGAAAGGACUGCAAUUUCCCUCCUUGAGAAAUAUGGACAAAAC